RNAcentral lists this ribosomal RNA (305 nucleotides) under uncultured bacterium. RNAcentral's name for it is "bacterial SSU rRNA". It matches the Rfam family "Bacterial small subunit ribosomal RNA", at positions 333 to 652 of the family's 1533-position model. The record is from RNAcentral.
GUAUUCCUACGGGGGGCAGCAGUGGGGAAUAUUGGGCAAUGGGCGCAAGCCUGACCCAGCAACGCCGCGUGAAGGAAGAAGGCCUUCGGGUUGUAAACUUCUUUUGUCAGGGACGAAGAAAGUGACGGUACCUGACGAAUAAGCCACGGCUAACUACGUGCCAGCAGCCGCGGUAAUACGUAGGUGGCAAGCGUUAUCCGGAUUUACUGGGUGUAAAGGGCGUGUAGGCGGGAGAGCAAGUCAGACGUGAAAUUCCAGGGCUCAACCCUGGAACUGCGUUUGAAACUGUUCUUCUUGAGUGAUGG